Molecule: ribosomal RNA, 450 nt
Filed under: uncultured bacterium
Lineage: Bacteria
Description: partial 16S ribosomal RNA
Rfam family: Bacterial small subunit ribosomal RNA
Source: RNAcentral
AACGAACGCUGGCGGCGUGCCUAACACAUGCAAGUCGAACGGAUGUAGCAAUACAUUAGUGGCGCACGGGUGAGUAACGCGUGGGAAUCUGCCUUAUAGACUGGGAUAACACUGGGAAACUAGUGCUAGUACCGGGUACGCCCUUAGGGGGAAAGUUUUUCGCUAUAAGAUGAGCCCGCGUUGGAUUAGCCAGUUGGUGAGGUAAAGGCUCACCAAGGCGACGAUCCAUAGCUGGUCUGAGAGGAUGAUCAGCCACACUGGGACUGAGACACGGCCCAGACUCCUACGGGAGGCAGCAGUGGGGAAUAUUGGACAAUGGGGGCAACCCUGAUCCAGCAACGCCGCGUGGAUGAUGAAGGUCUUCGGAUUGUAAAGUCCUUUUGGCGGGGACGAUGAUGACGGUACCCGCAGAAUAAGCUCCGGCUAACUUCGUGCCAGCAGCCGCAGUAA